This 412-nucleotide ribosomal RNA is filed under the name uncultured bacterium. Its description in RNAcentral is "bacterial SSU rRNA". It matches the Rfam family "Bacterial small subunit ribosomal RNA", at positions 13 to 428 of the family's 1533-position model. The record is from RNAcentral.
UUGAUCCUGGCUCAGGACGAACGCUGGCGGCGUGCUUAACACAUGCAAGUUGAACGGGCAAACAUGGAAGCUUGCUGAAGUNUAUGUUAGUAGCGGACGGGUGAGUAAUGCAUGAGGACCCGCCUUCCGGAGGGGGACAACAGUUGGAAACGGCUGCUAAUACCCCGUACGCCGAGAGGUGAAAGGGAUGGAGACAUCCCGCCGGGAGAGGGACUCAUGUCCUAUCAGCUGGUUGGUGAGGUAACGGCUCACCAAGGCGACGACGGGUAGCCGGCCUGAGAGGGCGACCGGCCACACUGGAACUGAGAGACGGUCCAGACUCCUACGGGAGGCAGCAGUGGGGAAUAUUGGGCAAUGGGGGCAACCCUGACCCAGCGACGCCGCGUGAGGGAAGAAGGCCUUCGGGUCGUAA